Long non-coding RNA from Balaenoptera ricei (Rice's whale), 422 nucleotides. RefSeq lists it as uncharacterized. The transcript is spliced from 4 exons. The record is from RefSeq and is a predicted model, not a curated record. NCBI's taxonomy places the organism in Eukaryota, Metazoa, Chordata, Mammalia, Artiodactyla, Balaenopteridae.
UGGAGUUUCCCGAGGCUGUGGUCUCCCAGGGAAGAGAUGAAGCCACUAAUAUCUACCCGGCUCCAGAUUUAACUGUUUGGAUGAAAAUGACGGUGUAGAACCAGGACAGCCCGCCAGCCACAGAGGAGCUCCCACUGGGAGCGCUCAUGUUUGUCUGAAGAAUACGUGUGCGGUGCGUUUUCCUAAGAGCACAGGAGGAGAUACGGAUACAGACCGCCUCCCUAAACCUGGAGAAGGCUCAGCUGCUUUACGCCUGGGAAAUGAAUACGCUAAUAACCAUUAUGAGAAGACAGCCUCGCCUUUUGGAGGACAAAUGCUAUGGGGUGGUGUAACCGCAGAGGCUCAAAUCCUGGCCCUGGCAUUUAGUGUGUAAGGCUUGCUACGUUCCUUCACCUUCCUGGGAAUCAUUCUCUCCAUUUGUG